UACAGAGGGUGCGAGCGUUGUUCGGAAUUAUUGGGCGUAAAGGGCGCGUAGGCGGUGCGGUAAGUCACCUGUGAAAUCUCCUGGCUCAACUGGGAGCUUGCAGGCGAAACUGCCGUGCUGGAGUGUGGGAGAGGUGCGUGGAAUUCCCGGUGUAGCGGUGAAAUGCGUAGAUAUCAAGAGGAACACCUGAGGUGAAGACGGGUUGCUGGGCCGACACUGACGCUGAGUGCGCGAAAGCCAGGGGAGCAAACGGG
RNAcentral lists this ribosomal RNA (254 nucleotides) under uncultured bacterium. Its description in RNAcentral is "partial 16S ribosomal RNA". It matches the Rfam family "Bacterial small subunit ribosomal RNA", at positions 524 to 776 of the family's 1533-position model. The record is from RNAcentral.